This 638-nucleotide ribosomal RNA is filed under the name uncultured bacterium. Its description in RNAcentral is "partial 16S ribosomal RNA". The record is from RNAcentral.
CCGCGAUGCAUCUAGAUCGACGCCAGCAAGACGUAGCCCAGCGCGUCGGCCGCCAUGCCGGCGAUAAUGGCCUGCUUCUCGCCGAAACGUUUGGUGGCGGGACCAGUGACGAAGGCUUGAGCGAGGGCGUGCAAGAUUCCGAAUACCGCAAGCGACAGGCCGAUCAUCGUCGCGCUCCAGCGAAAGCGGUCCUCGCCGAAAAUGACCCAGAGCGCUGCCGGCACCUGUCCUACGAGUUGCAUGAUAAAGAAGACAGUCAUAAGUGCGGCGACGAUAGUCAUGCCCCGCGCCCACCGGAAGGAGCUGACUGGGUUGAAGGCUCUCAAGGGCAUCGGUCGAAUCGGAUCCCGGGCCCCUACUCGAAUUGGCCAACGCGCGGGGAGAGGCGGUUUGCGUAUUGGGCGCUCUUCCGCUUCCUCGCUCACUGACUCGCUGCGCUCGGUCGUUCGGCUGCGGCGAGCGGUAUCAGCUCACUCAAAGGCGGUAAUACGGUUAUCCACAGAAUCAGGGGAUAACGCAGGAAAGAACAUGUGAGCAAAAGGCCAGCAAAAGGCCAGGAACCGUAAAAAGGCCGCGUUGCUGGCGUUUUUCCAUAGGCUCCGCCCCUCUGACGAGCAUCACAAAAAUCGACGCUCAAG